AGCAUCAUCCCAGGACUUUCCUUCGAUCACACCUUGAGCCUCACUGUAGGCAAGUCUGGCACAUGUCUUUAUAACUGUUUUGCCAAACCAACGCUUACCAAUUUCCUUACCAUUGGAGUCGAGUUUCCAAAAAACGCUAAAUGCAAGACGCUCAACGUUGGGAUUUAAUGAACAAAGUCGUUCACACAACAGAGGAGGAAGCAUCGGAAUA
Molecule: non-coding RNA, 211 nt
Organism: Schizosaccharomyces pombe (fission yeast)
Lineage: Eukaryota; Fungi; Ascomycota; Schizosaccharomycetes; Schizosaccharomycetales; Schizosaccharomycetaceae
Source: the annotation of a GenBank genome assembly